AGCAGCGUAGCUCAGUGGAAAGAGCCCGGGCUUGGGAGUCAGAGGUCAUGGGUUCAAAUCCCAGCUCUGCCA
RNAcentral lists this transfer RNA (72 nucleotides) under Ornithorhynchus anatinus (platypus). It matches the Rfam family "tRNA". Rfam says of the family: Transfer RNA (tRNA) molecules are approximately 80 nucleotides in length. Lineage: Eukaryota; Metazoa; Chordata; Mammalia; Monotremata; Ornithorhynchidae. The record is from Rfam by way of RNAcentral.